Aotus nancymaae (Ma's night monkey) is the source of this 82-nucleotide microRNA precursor. Ensembl annotates it as microRNA 1301. The record is from Ensembl. NCBI's taxonomy places the organism in Eukaryota, Metazoa, Chordata, Mammalia, Primates, Aotidae.
GGAUUGUGGGGGGUCGCUCUAGGCACCGCAGCACUGUGCUGGGGAUGUUGCAGCUGCCUGGGAGUGACUUCACACAGUCCUC